RNAcentral lists this ribosomal RNA (961 nucleotides) under Leptoxyphium kurandae. RNAcentral describes it as "SSU rRNA". It matches the Rfam family "Eukaryotic small subunit ribosomal RNA", at positions 110 to 1080 of the family's 1831-position model. The record is from RNAcentral. Lineage: Eukaryota; Fungi; Ascomycota; Dothideomycetes; Capnodiales; Capnodiaceae.
UUAUCGUUUAUUUGAUAGUACCUUACUACAUGGAUAACCGUGGUAAUUCUAGAGCUAAUACAUGCUAAAAACCCCGACUCACGAAGGGGUGUAUUUAUUAGAUAAAAAACCAAUGCCCUUUGGGCUUCAUGGUGAAUCAUAAUAACUUAACGAAUCGCAUGGCCUUGCGCCGGCGAUGGUUCAUUCAAAUUUCUGCCCUAUCAACUUUCGAUGGUAGGAUAGUGGCCUACCAUGGUAUCAACGGGUAACGGGGAAUUAGGGUUCUAUUCCGGAGAGGGAGCCUGAGAAACGGCUACCACAUCCAAGGAAGGCAGCAGGCGCGCAAAUUACCCAAUCCCGACACGGGGAGGUAGUGACAAUAAAUACUGAUACAGGGCUCUUUUGGGUCUUGUAAUUGGAAUGAGUACAAUUUAAAUACCUUAACGAGGAACAAUUGGAGGGCAAGUCUGGUGCCAGCAGCCGCGGUAAUUCCAGCUCCAAUAGCGUAUAUUAAAGUUGUUGCAGUUAAAAAGCUCGUAGUUGAACCUUGGGCCUGGCUGGCCGGUCCGCCUCACCGCGUGUACUGGUCCGGCCGGGCCUUUCCUUCUGGGGAACCGCAUGCCCUUCACUGGGCGUGUGUGGGAACCAGGACUUUUACUUUGAAAAAAUUAGAGUGUUCAAAGCAGGCCUUUGCUCGAAUACAUUAGCAUGGAAUAAUAGAAUAGGACGUGUGGUUCUAUUUUGUUGGUUUCUAGGACCGCCGUAAUGAUUAAUAGGGAUAGUCGGGGGCAUCUGUAUUCAAUUGUCAGAGGUGAAAUUCUUGGAUUUAUUGAAGACAAACUACUGCGAAAGCAUUUGCCAAGGAUGUUUUCAUUAAUCAGUGAACGAAAGUUAGGGGAUCGAAGACGAUCAGAUACCGUCGUAGUCUUAACCAUAAACUAUGCCGACUAGGGAUCGGGGGGUGUUAUCAUUUUGACCUCCU